Hippocampus comes (tiger tail seahorse) is the source of this 978-nucleotide long non-coding RNA. RefSeq lists it as uncharacterized. NCBI's taxonomy places the organism in Eukaryota, Metazoa, Chordata, Actinopteri, Syngnathiformes, Syngnathidae. The record is from RefSeq and is a predicted model, not a curated record. The transcript has 2 exons.
AAUAAGUAUCAAUACAGUAACCAUCUGAAUCACUAUUUAAUCAAAUUAGAAGGUGGGAUCAUAUGGAGCAUUUGCUCUGAAAGGCAACACUCAACAAAGCGACUCCUCAACGUUAUCAGGCGCACGUGAAGUCACAAAAAGACACCAGCACACGCACAAUGCGCGCAACCACAUGAACACACUCCAGCCCUUUCAACACACUCACACACAACUCAACGUCAUGCAAUCGCAAAACGCGAACAAUGCCCGCUUAAGUAACACGCAACCUAACAAACACGACGCUAUCAGCUGGAAUUUCUGUUUACUUUGAACCUUGACUAAUAUUUAACCUGCCCGUAUCUGUAUCUGUUCACCUUUUAUUGUUUUAUGUGUUUUGUGUCAGUGCAGUGGAGGCGCAAAAUCAGCACACCAUCAGCAAAACGCUCGUAGUCGCUGUGGGCUUCAACUACCGUGUACAUUUAGUCGAGAAUACCUGACUACAGAAUGACAAAGUAGCACAACAAACCAUUAUACGUAAAGGAAGCGAAACUAGAAGAAAAAUGUGGUUAUGUUUCCGUCUACCUGUCAGUGUUCAAAAUGACGGGGAAAAAAAACCCUACAAUUUCUUGAAAUGAUAGCGUGAAGUUGGGCUUCAUCGUGUCUUGGCGCAAAACUCUGCUUGGGUGCAACGGUUUUGCUGUGUGAAGAAGAUGAUGACAUCAUCGAUGGGAAGUUGCGCUACAGUAUAUCCAUGCAGACCUCCACAUGCGGUCACUAAUUAGCUGCCCUGAAGCAGCACACGAUCUCUCUGAUGAGGCCGCGUAGGAGGACAAUCAAAAAGACGAGGUGGGGUCACCUCCCACCGAUAACAAUGACGGGAAACCAGCGCACUCCUUGAAGGGCAGAGAUUCCCAGACAGUAGCGAGCUGACAGAAAGGCUCUACAAAAAAAUCCAGCCUCAAAUGAAUUAUAGUAGCUGUCGCUAAUCUCCACUAAAGG